GAUUGGACAAACUGAGGAAGAAUGC
Molecule: non-coding RNA, 25 nt
Filed under: Cricetulus griseus (Chinese hamster)
Lineage: Eukaryota; Metazoa; Chordata; Mammalia; Rodentia; Cricetidae
Also listed under: 1 other name
Source: RNAcentral